Molecule: ribosomal RNA, 253 nt
Filed under: uncultured bacterium
Lineage: Bacteria
Description: partial 16S ribosomal RNA
Rfam family: Bacterial small subunit ribosomal RNA
Source: RNAcentral
UACGUAGGGCGCAAGCGUUGUCCGGAAUUAUUGGGCGUAAAGAGCUCGUAGGCGGUUUGUCGCGUCUGCUGUGAAAACUCGGGGCUUAACCCCGGGCCUGCAGUGGGUACGGGCAGACUAGAGUGCGGUAGGGGAGACUGGAAUUCCUGGUGUAGCGGUGAAAUGCGCAGAUAUCAGGAGGAACACCGGUGGCGAAGGCGGGACUCUGGGCCGAUACUGACGCUGAGGAGCGAAAGCGUGGGGAGCAAACAGG